RNAcentral lists this ribosomal RNA (253 nucleotides) under uncultured bacterium. RNAcentral describes it as "partial 16S ribosomal RNA". It matches the Rfam family "Bacterial small subunit ribosomal RNA", at positions 524 to 776 of the family's 1533-position model. The record is from RNAcentral.
UACGUAGGGGGCAAGCGUUGUCCGGAUUUAUUGGGCGUAAAGAGCGUGUAGGCGGCCGUACAGGUCAGCUGUGAAAACUCGAGGCUCAACCUCGAGACGUCGGUUGAAACCGUACGGCUAGAGUCCGGAAGAGGAGAGUGGAAUUCCCGGUGUAGCGGUGAAAUGCGCAGAUAUCGGGAAGAACACCCGUGGCGAAGGCGGCUCUCUGGGACGGUACUGACGCUGAGACGCGAAAGCGUGGGGAGCGAAUGGG